AGCGAACGCUGGCGGCAGGCUUAACACAUGCAAGCCGAACGCAUCCUUCGGGGUGAGUGGCAGACGGGUGAGUAACGCGUGGGAACAUGCCCUUUGGUUCGGAAUAACUCAGGGAAACUUGAGCUAAUACCGGAUAAGCCCUUUUGGGGAAAGAUUUAUCGCCGAAGGAUUGGCCCGCGUCCGAUUAGCUAGUUGGUGAGGUAAUGGCUCACCAAGGCGACGAUCGGUAGCUGGUCUGAGAGGAUGAUCAGCCACACUGGGACUGGGACACGGCCCAGACUCCUACGGGAGGCAGCAGUGGGGAAUAUUGGACAAUGGGGGCAACCCUGAUCCAGCCAUGCCGCGUGAGUGAUGAAGGCCCUAGGGUUGUAAAGCUCUUUCGGCGGGGACGAUAAUGACGGUACCCGCAGAAGAAGCCCCGGCUAACUUCGUGCCAGCAGCCGCGGUAA
This 449-nucleotide ribosomal RNA is filed under the name uncultured bacterium. Its description in RNAcentral is "partial 16S ribosomal RNA". It matches the Rfam family "Bacterial small subunit ribosomal RNA", at positions 29 to 523 of the family's 1533-position model. The record is from RNAcentral.